Molecule: long non-coding RNA, 306 nt
Filed under: Vitis vinifera (wine grape)
Lineage: Eukaryota; Viridiplantae; Streptophyta; Magnoliopsida; Vitales; Vitaceae
Description: long non-coding RNA (VVIN_LNC001019)
Source: RNAcentral
AGAAAGUUGAGGAAAUGGAAGAAUGAGAGAGGGAAUGAGGGAGCUACCAACCGGCAAUGGCUCACCGGCGGUGACUGGUUGGUGGUUCUGUCGGCAACAAGAGGGAUUGAUGGGUUUUUUUUGGGAAAUAAAAAAAAUGAAAAAAGAAAAAAAGUAGAAGGAAGGAAAUGAGGGGGGCAUUUGGCAGUGUAGUGUGUGGAGGAAGAAGAGGGAGUGGAGAGGGAGAAAAAAGGAAGAAAAAAAUAUAUAAAAAUGGGGCCGACUGGAAAUGGUCAUGGAGUGUGGGUGUUGGGGAAAGGAAGAAGA